RNAcentral lists this ribosomal RNA (253 nucleotides) under uncultured bacterium. Its description in RNAcentral is "partial 16S ribosomal RNA". It matches the Rfam family "Bacterial small subunit ribosomal RNA", at positions 524 to 776 of the family's 1533-position model. The record is from RNAcentral.
UACGUAGGGUGCAAGCGUUGUCCGGAAUUAUUGGGCGUAAAGAGCUUGUAGGCGGUUUGUCGCGUCUGCUGUGAAAUUUCGGGGCUCAACCCCGAACUUGCAGUGGGUACGGGCAGACUAGAGUGCGGUAGGGGAGACUGGAAUUCCUGGUGUAGCGGUGAAAUGCGCAGAUAUCAGGAGGAACACCGGUGGCGAAGGCGGAGACCUGGGCCGAUACUGACGCUGAGGUGCGAAAGCGUGGGGAGCAAACAGG